GAUGAACGCUGGCGGCGUACCUAAUACAUGCAAGUCGAGCGAACGGACGAGAAGCUUGCUUCUCUGAUGUUAGCGGCGGACGGGUGAGUAACACGUGGAUAACCUACCUAUAAGACUGGGAUAACUUCGGGAAACCGGAGCUAAUACCGGAUAAUAUUUUGAACCGCAUGGUUCAAAAGUGAAAGACGGUCUUGCUGUCACUUAUAGAUGGAACCGCGCUGCAUUAGCUAGUUGGUAAGGUAACGGCUUACCAAGGCAACGAUGCAUAGCCGACCUGAGAGGGUGAUCGGCCACACUGGAACUGAGACACGGUCCAGACUCCUACGGGAGGCAGCAGUAGGGAAUCUUCCGCAAUGGGCGAAAGCCUGACGGAGCAACGCCGCGUGAGUGAUGAAGGUCUUCGGAUCGUAAAACUCUGUUAUUAGGGAAGAACAUAUGUGUAAGUAACUGUGCACAUCUUGACGGUACCUAAUCAGAAAGCCACGGCUAACUACGUG
Molecule: ribosomal RNA, 497 nt
Filed under: uncultured bacterium
Lineage: Bacteria
Description: partial 16S ribosomal RNA
Rfam family: Bacterial small subunit ribosomal RNA
Source: RNAcentral